RNAcentral lists this ribosomal RNA (453 nucleotides) under uncultured Rhodobacter sp. RNAcentral's name for it is "partial 16S ribosomal RNA". Lineage: Bacteria; Pseudomonadati; Pseudomonadota; Alphaproteobacteria; Rhodobacterales. The record is from RNAcentral.
CACGGAGUUAGCCGGGGCUUCUUCUGCUGGUACCGUCAUUAUCUUCCCAGCUGAAAGAUCUUUACAACCCUAAGGCCUUCAUCGAUCACGCGGCAUGGCUAGAUCAGGCUUGCGCCCAUUGUCUAAGAUUCCCCACUGCUGCCUCCCGUAGGAGUCUGGGCCGUGUCUCAGUCCCAGUGUGGCUGAUCAUCCUCUCAAACCAGCUAUGGAUCGUCGGCUUGGUAGGCCAUUACCCCACCAACUACCUAAUCCAACGCGGGCCAAUCCUUUGGCGAUAAAUCUUUCCCCCGAAGGGCACAUACGGUAUUACUCCCAGUUUCCCGAGGCUAUUCCGUACCAAAGGGUAUGUUCCCACGCGUUACUCACCCGUCCGCCGCUAAGUCCGAAGACUUCGCUCGACUUGCAUGUGUUAGGCCUGCCGCCAGCGUUCGUUCUGAGCCAGGAUCAAACUCU